UAGCCUUCCAGGGGAUACUGUUAGACUUGGGACCGGGAGAGGUAAGAGGUACUGCAGGGGUAGGAGUGAAAUCUUGUAAUCCCUGUGAGACCACCAGUGGCGAAGGCGUCUUACCAGAACGGGUCCGACGGUGAGGGACGAAAGCUGGGGGCACGAACCGGAUUAGAUACCCGGGUAGUCCCAGCUGUAAACGAUGCUCGUUAGGUGUCAGGAACGGUGCGACUGUUUCUGGUGCCGAAGGGAAGCCGUGAAACGAGCCACCUGGGAAGUACGGCCGCAAGGCUGAAACUUAAAGGAAUUGGCGGGGGAGCACUACAACGGGUGGAGCCUGCGGUUUAAUUGGACUCAACGCCGGAAAACUCACCGGGGGCGACAGCAAUAUGUAGGUCAGGUUAAAGGUCUUACCUGAAUCGCUGAGAGGAGGUGCAUGGCCGUCGUCAGUUCGUACUGUGAAGCAUCCUGUUAAGUCAGGCAACGAGCAAGACCCGUGCCCACUGUUACCAGCAUAUCCUUUAUGGAUGAUGGGGACUCUGUGGGGACCGCUGCUGCUAAAGCAGAGGAAGGUGCGGGCUACGGUAGGUCAGUAUGCCCCGAAUCUCCCGGGCUACACGCGGGCUACAAUGGUUGGGACAAUGGGUAUCUACUCCGAAAGGAGUUGGCAAUCUCUUAAACCCAAUCGUAGUUCGAAUUGAGGGCUGUAACUCGCCCUCAUGAAGCUGGAAUCCGUAGUAAUCGCGUUUCAACAUAGCGCGGU
RNAcentral lists this ribosomal RNA (754 nucleotides) under uncultured archaeon. RNAcentral describes it as "bacterial SSU rRNA". It matches the Rfam family "Archaeal small subunit ribosomal RNA", at positions 567 to 1319 of the family's 1478-position model. The record is from RNAcentral.